RNAcentral lists this non-coding RNA (196 nucleotides) under Eubacterium ventriosum. Its description in RNAcentral is "T-box sequence". It matches the Rfam family "T-box leader". From Rfam's summary of the family: Uncharged tRNA acts as the effector for transcription antitermination of genes in the T-box leader family. T-boxes are found upstream of many aminoacyl-tRNA synthetase genes and some amino acid biosynthetic genes usually in Gram-positive bacteria. The anticodon of a specific tRNA base pairs to a specifier sequence within the T-box motif, and the NCCA acceptor tail of the tRNA base pairs to a conserved bulge in the T-box antiterminator hairpin. The record is from RNAcentral. Lineage: Bacteria; Bacillati; Bacillota; Clostridia; Eubacteriales; Eubacteriaceae.
GGAAAUGCGUAGAAGAAAAGGAGUAGCAGAUAACCUUUUAAAGAGAGAGAGGGACGGUGGAAGCCUCUUAAAGCAGUGUCUGUGAAGGUAGUUUUGGAGCAGAGAUGAUGAAUUGAGUAGUUGUCUACGGUUCGUCCCCGUUACAGGAUAUGAUAAGUGAAAGAUAAAGGUGGUACCGCGAGCAAUCGCCCUUUAU